Bos taurus (domestic cattle) is the source of this 424-nucleotide long non-coding RNA. The record is from Ensembl. NCBI's taxonomy places the organism in Eukaryota, Metazoa, Chordata, Mammalia, Artiodactyla, Bovidae.
CUACAGUCCAGUUCCUACAAGGUGUCUGUUGCUGAGCCACCCAGGAACUCUCAGGCAGUUGCCAGCUGGAAGCAUCUAGAAGUAUGUAUGCAUCUACAACUGUGCGUAUCUGUUGUGUUGAUCACCAGCCUUAGUAAUAAGUACUCGAUAUUCCUUUGCAGGUUGCCUCCCACGCCCCAGAACAGGAGCUCUGUGGGGCAGGGCCUUUGUCUUACUUUCUGCCUCUUUUCCAGCAGAGCCAAGGACUGGAAAGAUGGUUUUGCCAGAUAUAGAAUUCUUGGUUGGCAGAUUUACCUGGUUUAUUCUUUCAGCACUUGAACCAACUCAUACCACCACGUUCUGGCCUCCAUGGUUUCUGAUCAGACGAUCUCAAUUGACCUAACUUCAAGUUCGCUAAUUCUUUCAUCUGCUUACUCAAACCUGC